This 424-nucleotide ribosomal RNA is filed under the name uncultured Antarctic cyanobacterium. RNAcentral describes it as "bacterial SSU rRNA". It matches the Rfam family "Bacterial small subunit ribosomal RNA", at positions 356 to 795 of the family's 1533-position model. Lineage: Bacteria; Bacillati; Cyanobacteriota. The record is from RNAcentral.
GGGGAAUCUUCCGCAAUGGGCGAAAGCCUGACGGAGCAAUACCGCGUGAGGGAGGAAGGCUCUUGGGUUGUAAACCUCUUUUCUUAGGGAAGAAGCUCUGACGGUACCUAAGGAAUAAGCAUCGGCUAACUCCGUGCCAGCAGCCGCGGUAAUACGGAGGAUGCAAGCGUUAUCCGGAAUCAUUGGGCGUAAAGCGUCCGUAGGUGGCAGUUCAAGUCUGCUGUUAAAGGCUGGGGCUUAACCCCAGACAGGCAGUGGAAACUGAACAGCUAGAGUGUGGUAGGGGUAGAGGGAAUUCCCGGUGUANCGGUGAAAUGCGUANAUAUCGGGAAGAACACCGGUGGCGAAAGCGCUCUGCUGGACCACAACUGACACUGAGGGACGAAAGCUAGGGGAGCGAAUGGGAUUAGAUACCCCAGUAGUC